GCAUUAAUGGGGUAGUGGUAACCUAGGUCGUUGCCACUGUAACAGCACAGGUCUGCAUCGUCGACCCGCCGGGGGUUCGAUUCCCCCUUAAUGCA
Non-coding RNA from Tricholoma furcatifolium, 95 nucleotides. The record is from the annotation of a GenBank genome assembly. NCBI's taxonomy places the organism in Eukaryota, Fungi, Basidiomycota, Agaricomycetes, Agaricales, Tricholomataceae.